CCGCAUGUGGCGCAACUGGAUAGCGCGUCGGUUUCCUAGGCUGAUGGUUGCAGGUUCGACUCCUGCCAUGCGGACCA
RNAcentral lists this transfer RNA (77 nucleotides) under Acidithiobacillus ferridurans. Its description in RNAcentral is "tRNA-Arg". It matches the Rfam family "tRNA". Rfam says of the family: Transfer RNA (tRNA) molecules are approximately 80 nucleotides in length. Lineage: Bacteria; Pseudomonadati; Pseudomonadota; Acidithiobacillia; Acidithiobacillales; Acidithiobacillaceae. RNAcentral also lists the same sequence under 1 other name. The record is from RNAcentral.